Molecule: long non-coding RNA, 372 nt
Filed under: Prunus persica (peach)
Lineage: Eukaryota; Viridiplantae; Streptophyta; Magnoliopsida; Rosales; Rosaceae
Description: long non-coding RNA (PPER_LNC001958)
Source: RNAcentral
GGCUUUGUCAGCUGGCAGGGAAUCUUCUGUUUUCGGCUACUUUCGGUGGAGUGACUAAAGCAAAACAGUGCUUUGUCUGCUGCUUGGACUUUCCUUCAACUGAUGGCUGCUUUCGGCAAAAGCGAACAGGGCUUUGUCUGCUGCUUUCCCACGAUUUGAUAAUUUCCUUUGACAAAGUAAAUUGUCGGCAACUGCGAGGCGUGCAACUGGGGCAAUUAUGAAAGGAAUCCCUAGUCAGACCCGAGGUCAUAGCCAUCAUAGGGAUCCUGGCUGUCAUCAUACCAAGUCUUUGGCUUGGCAGGGCUCUGCAUGGGCUGGCAACUAGACGACGAGGGAGAAUCAUUGUCCUCAUCAUCAUCCAUUUGAGAGGCC